This is a long non-coding RNA of Cygnus atratus (black swan), 1147 nucleotides long. RefSeq lists it as uncharacterized. The record is from RefSeq and is a predicted model, not a curated record. NCBI's taxonomy places the organism in Eukaryota, Metazoa, Chordata, Aves, Anseriformes, Anatidae. The transcript has 3 exons.
CGCGCCCGUCGCCGCCUCGCCCCGGCUGGCGGCCCCCGUGGCGGUGCUGCCUUCGCAUGGGCGGCCGGCACGGGCUGCGCGCCCCAGCGAGCUUGCAGAAAGCUGCUUACCUGCUCCAGCCGCAGAAAAGUUGUUGAGCAGUGCCUCCUAAUGCUUGCGUGAAGGGCAUCCUGCAGGUGUUGCACCGUGCUGCGAGCAUUUGCAUGCUGUGUAAAUGAUACAGCGGGGUGGGGAGAAGCGCUGGGGUUUUGCCGUGCGGCGUCCUGCUGGCAAACCCAUCCCGCGGCAGCGGCAGGAUUUGAGACCUCAUCUGAGAAGACAGCUGUCAGGUUCCUGCAGACGAAACCUCCGGCAUGCAUUAGGGAUGCUAUGGAAAUAGUGCUGUUCAUCCCACGUCUUCAUAGGAUUUGGUUCCACCCACUGAAAAGGAUUGUCCUUCACCAGGAGUGCUGUUCUAUGUAUAUGGAAAUAGCAACAAAUGAAGCAUAAAGGAAGCCUUUCCAGUCUACUGUGAAUGUUGGAGUCUCACCAUCUUCUGCAGUUUGUCAGCUGUCUACUUUGGAGUGUCCCCUGACAUGCUGGAUGAAAAGAAGAGCAGUCAUUUAUCCAACACAUACUGAUUUCUUCAAGAUGCUGCUGUUGGUCUGACUUCUAGGGAUGAAAUUCUAUCCCCAUAUUUACAGUAGGUGGAAUUCUAGUGUCCACAGGCUUUUAGUUAGGUAGGAACAAGAAAUUUUGUCACUGCUUCUUAAACAGGAAUACCAGAGGCAUGAUUAUUCAAAAGUCCUGGAGCUCAUGCUUCCAAGGACCAUAUUCACAAACAGUGUAAUGCACACUGCCUACAUCAUUACAAAGAAUUGUAGUUACUAUAUUAAACAAUAAUUAUUUUCCCAAUAUUCAUAUGAUUUUUAAUUUACCUCCCAUUUUGCCCUAUUUUCUACCUUGGAAGAAAAAGAAAACAAUUAUGCUGUACGGUCACCAAGGCAGGCAAUGUUGGAGCUAGGCAGACUCAAGCUGAUACAUCAUCUUGGACAUCUACAGUGAACUAGAUGUUUAUUACAGUAUGAGACAACCACUGCUUAUUAUCUUUAAAAUUCAGUUGUUUCUCUGUCAGUUUGUACGACCUAUUGCAUUAAUUAUAGUUAUA